Anastrepha obliqua is the source of this 2205-nucleotide long non-coding RNA. RefSeq lists it as uncharacterized. Lineage: Eukaryota; Metazoa; Arthropoda; Insecta; Diptera; Tephritidae. The transcript has 5 exons. The record is from RefSeq and is a predicted model, not a curated record.
CUUAAAGGGUUCGCAUUGAUUUUUUACGUUUUUAGUUUUUUUGAGAAAUAUACUUGGAACGUUUCGGUCUUCGUCCAAAAUUUUGCUAUUCUGUUAUAUGUUGGAACUAGUAAUUUACACACGAAUUACGUAACAAAACCAUGUACGGAGGAUCCUUGAUUGAUGAGCAAAACAAUUUAACCGCAAUUGAAGAACUCAAACUCAAAUCAUAAUCAUGAGGAUCCACUUUCGUAUGGCUCUGCUCGAUAGCACUGAGUAUUCGCGUUGGCCUCCUUGGCUGCAGCCUCCUUUUUGUAGUUCUUGAUGUAGAAGGAGCUGAACAUGUAGGUAAAAAGACCGGCGUUGAAGGUUAGCAAAGCGGCGAUUGGUUUCGGGAAAUCACAAGUUGGCUGGAAUUGAAUUUGGAGAGUGUGCACGAAUAUGAUGAGGAAUUGAAUCUAUACUUUUGCACCUUGGGGCCCAUGGCAGAGAGCAGGUAAUAGGCGUACAUAAUGAUGUGAAUGAAGGAGUUGAUAAAGCCGAGCAGCGUGCCGUGACCACCUGUUGUAAGAAGGAGGUAGAAAGGAAUUUUAAUUAACAAAAAGUGCAUCUGUUAUAGAUUUAAAAGUCCAAAUCUGCUUUUACACGGUUCAAGUCUGUGUUUAUAUCUACUUUUUUGUAUACAUUCUGUCAAAAAAUAUCGGAAAUUGUUCAUUUAAAAACCGAGCAUUACACAUAUGUCUAAAUUUUUUUGCUGGAAUGUUGGUACAACUGUUUUCUAUAGUGUCGCAGAGUUUGAUCAACUUGUUUUUGGCAUUUAAUUAUAUCUGCAGCUGUGGUCUGCCAUUUUCACUGUGGAUAAAAAUAUCGAACAAGGAAUUCGUCUUAAAUUUUGUGUUUUAAGGGAAUUUCGGGUACCGAAUUGUUGAAAACGUAGCAGAAAAUCUAUGGAUAUGUAAGGCUUUUGCAGAGGCCCGGAAAGUCGUGGAAGAUUUGCCCCGAUCUGGUCGCCCAUCAAUGUCUUCAACGGAUGAAAACGUCGACAAAGUCAAGGAAAUGGUGCUGGAAAACCAUCAUUUAAGUUUGAGGGAGGUAGCUCGUGACCUUAGUGUGCCUCACGAAUCAAUUCCCAACAUUUUACACCAUCAAUUGAGCAUGAAACGCGUGGCUGCUCGACUCGUUCAAAGAGAGUUAAAUUUCUUUCAGAAAAUUCAUCGGAAGAAGAUGGCUGAUGACAUGCUUGAGCAAGUGAAUUCCGAUCUAACGUUUACCCAGCGCAUCAUAACAGGGGAUGAGACGUGGGUAUAUGAGUUUGACAUGCAACCCAGUCAACAGUCAACAGGCGGCUAAAUGGCGUUAUCCACAUGAGCCGAAACCCAAAAAACCAGUCAAAGUCGUUUUCUUUGGUUAUCAUGGCGUUGUGCACUCAGAAUUCAUUCCAAACGGUUCUAUGGUAAAUAAAGCAUAUUAUUUGUAAGUUGUGCGACGUUUGAGAGAGAAUGUGCGUAGGAAACGGCCCAAUUUGUGGUAAGACAACUCAUGCAUCUUGCACCAUGGUAACGCAUCGUCUCACAAGGCUUAUAUUGUCAAUCCUUUUUUGAUCAAAAACUCGAUAACUAUCAACGAAUAACCACCGUAUUCACCGGAUUUAGCCUCAUGCGACGAUUUUCUUUUCCUAAAACUUAAAUUGCCACUCCUCGGACGCCGCUUUAAGUCGAUGCAGGCCAUCAAGGUGAAUUCGCUGAAGGAGCUGAAAAAUCUUUUCAAACGUUUUUGGAUGACUGAACUAAUCGUUGGCAUAUGUGUAUUGCUUCGAAUGGAGCCUAUUUUGAAGGCGACAAAAUAAAUUUUGAUGACUAAACAAUUAUUUUGCGUUUCAUUGAAUAAUUCCCGAUACUUUUUUGACAGAAUGUAUUUUUUCACAUUUUCGCUGUAAGACAAAGGCAUAGACUGGAAAAUUGUAGUGUAUGAAAGUAAACAGAAAACAUGUGAAAGGAUAAGCAAACCAUGUAGAUCAGAACUAAGCUAGAAAGGUAAACUAACCGGCGAAAUAUUUAACUCCAACGAAUGCGCAAACGGGCAUCAAAGUGUGAUGGUACCUGAAAGUAUUGAAGCAUAUUCAUAAAAAUCAUACAAUACUUACAAAUGCAGGAAGGAGAUCUGUCGUUGCUUUUUACGCAGGACAAAGAAUACUGUAUCCAGUAGUUCAGUGAGUUUGGCGAUGUA